GGAGAGGUGGAUGAGUGGUUUAAGUCGCACGCCUGGAAAGCGUGUUUGGGAUAAUAUCCCAACGGGGGUUCGAAUCCCCCCUUCUCCGCCA
This 91-nucleotide transfer RNA is filed under the name Candidatus Gallionella acididurans. RNAcentral describes it as "tRNA-Ser". It matches the Rfam family "tRNA". From Rfam's summary of the family: Transfer RNA (tRNA) molecules are approximately 80 nucleotides in length. The record is from RNAcentral. RNAcentral also lists the same sequence under 12 other names. Lineage: Bacteria; Pseudomonadati; Pseudomonadota; Betaproteobacteria; Nitrosomonadales; Gallionellaceae.